GACGAACGCUGGCGGCGUGCCUAACACAUGCAAGUCGAGCGGGGACAUUGCGACAGAUAUGAAGUUUUCGGAUGGAUUUGAAGAUGUAAUGUUCUAGCGGCGGACGGGUGAGUAACGCGUGAGCAACCUGUCCCUUACAGGGGGAUAACACAGCGAAAGUUGUACUAAUACCGCAUGAGACCACAAAGCGACAUCGCUUAGGGGUCAAAGGAGUAAUCCGGUAAGGGGUGGGCUCGCGUCCGAUUAGAUAGUUGGUGAGGUAACGGCCCACCAAGUCGACGAUCGGUAGCCGACCUGAGAGGGUGAUCGGCCACAUUGGGACUGAGACACGGCCCAAACUCCUACGGGAGGCAGCAGUGGGGAAUAUUGGGCAAUGGGGGAAACCCUGACCCAGCAACGCCGCGUGAGGGAAGAAGGUUUUCGGCAUCGUAAACCUCUGUCCUUGGUGAAGAGAAAGAGACGGUAGCCA
Molecule: ribosomal RNA, 469 nt
Filed under: bacterium WCD2008
Lineage: Bacteria
Description: bacterial SSU rRNA
Rfam family: Bacterial small subunit ribosomal RNA
Source: RNAcentral